GACUUGUGCUCUUCUGAUCUCUGGGUAUGUUAGUUUGGAAAAGAGUAGAUUAAGGAGAGAUAUGAUAGCAGUCUUCAGAUAUUUGAAAGGCUGCCAUAAAAAAGAUGGAGAAAAUUAUUCUCUUUUGCCAUAGAGGGCAGGACAGGCAAUGGGUCCAAACUACAGCAUAGCAGAUUUA
Dermochelys coriacea (leatherback sea turtle) is the source of this 178-nucleotide long non-coding RNA. RefSeq lists it as uncharacterized. The transcript has 4 exons. The record is from RefSeq and is a predicted model, not a curated record. Lineage: Eukaryota; Metazoa; Chordata; Testudines; Dermochelyidae.